UGUUGAAUGAUGAAAAAAUUGACGGAUUAUUACUGAUAUUAUUCAUAUAUGAUAAUCUUAAUCAGCUACUUCUGACUACA
Small nucleolar RNA from Medicago truncatula (barrel medic), 80 nucleotides. It matches the Rfam family "Small nucleolar RNA R12". From Rfam's summary of the family: snoR12 is a C/D box small nucleolar RNA, which acts as a methylation guide for 25S ribosomal RNA in plants. snoR12 has been alternatively named snoZ44 in Arabidopsis and snoZ131 in rice. NCBI's taxonomy places the organism in Eukaryota, Viridiplantae, Streptophyta, Magnoliopsida, Fabales, Fabaceae. The record is from Rfam.